Non-coding RNA from Danio rerio (zebrafish), 80 nucleotides. The record is from Rfam. Lineage: Eukaryota; Metazoa; Chordata; Actinopteri; Cypriniformes; Danionidae.
CUUUGGCCUGGUUCAAGUAAUCCAGGAUAGGCUUGUGAUGUCCGGAAAGCCUAUUCGGGAUGACUUGGUUCAGGAAUGAG